This is a non-coding RNA of Nephila pilipes (giant wood spider), 78 nucleotides long. The record is from the annotation of a GenBank genome assembly. NCBI's taxonomy places the organism in Eukaryota, Metazoa, Arthropoda, Arachnida, Araneae, Nephilidae.
GCAACAGUGGCGGAAUGGAUGACGCACAUGUCUAGGAAGCAGGACUUUCUAGGUUCGAAUCCUCGCUGCCUCGAUGCA